GAGCAAUGAGGAUAGUUGUGUUAUUUGUGAUAGAUGGGUCUGUCACUAAUGUCUUCAUCAGACAAAAGUGAACACAUCUGAGCUC
RNAcentral lists this small nucleolar RNA (85 nucleotides) under Lupinus angustifolius (narrow-leaved blue lupine). RNAcentral's name for it is "small nucleolar RNA snoR114". It matches the Rfam family "small nucleolar RNA snoR114". Lineage: Eukaryota; Viridiplantae; Streptophyta; Magnoliopsida; Fabales; Fabaceae. The record is from Rfam by way of RNAcentral.